This 281-nucleotide ribosomal RNA is filed under the name Liostenogaster vechti. RNAcentral describes it as "partial 16S ribosomal RNA". The record is from RNAcentral. Lineage: Eukaryota; Metazoa; Arthropoda; Insecta; Hymenoptera; Vespidae.
AUAAUAAAUUGUUCUUUAAUUGAGUUCUGGAAUGAAAGGAAUAAUGAAAUAAAAUCUUUAUUAAAUUAAUAAAUAAAAAUUGAUUAUUAAAUAAAAAGGUUUAAAUUUAUUUUUAAGACGAGAAGACCCUAGAGAAUUUUAAUAAUAAUUUUAAUAAUAUAAUUUAAGAAUAUUAAUUAUUAUUAUUUUAAUUGGGGAGAUUAUUAAAUUUAAUAAACUUUAUAUAAAUAAACAUAAAUAAAUGAUUAAAUGAUAAUUAAAUAAAUAGAAAAAUUACCUUA